Molecule: ribosomal RNA, 503 nt
Filed under: uncultured bacterium
Lineage: Bacteria
Description: partial 16S ribosomal RNA
Rfam family: Bacterial small subunit ribosomal RNA
Source: RNAcentral
AUUGAACGCUGGCGGCAGGCUUAACACAUGCAAGUCGAGCGGGGUGAUGGUGCUUGCACUAUCACUUAGCGGCGGACGGGUGAGUAAUGCUUAGGAAUCUGCCUAUUAGUGGGGGACAACAUCUCGAAAGGGAUGCUAAUACCGCAUACGUCCUACGGGAGAAAGCAGGGGAUCACUUGUGACCUUGCGCUAAUAGAUGAGCCUAAGUCGGAUUAGCUAGUUGAUGGGGUAAAGGCCUACCAAGGCGACGAUCUGUAGCGGGUCUGAGAGGAUGAUCCGCCACACUGGGACUGAGACACGGCCCAGACUCCUACGGGAGGCAGCAGUGGGGAAUAUUGGACAAUGGGGGGAACCCUGAUCCAGCCAUGCCGCGUGUGUGAAGAAGGCCUUAUGGUUGUAAAGCACUUUAAGCGAGGAGGAGGCUUACCUAGUUAAUACCUGGGAUAAGUGGACGUUACUCGCAGAAUAAGCACCGGCUAACUCUGUGCCAGCCGCCGCAGUAA